CGACUGACCUUCCUCUUCCACUGCGCUGGCGUCCAUAAACCCCGCUGCCAUCAGCCUGAGCCACUAAGCCUGGCUUUUCUUCACACCCAGACAUCGAAUGCAUAGCUGGCUGCCAGCUGGAGCUGCCAUCGCCUGCGCUACCUUUAGCCUGUCUGCUGCUGAGCCACUGCACUCACCGGCUGACUGCGGCUCCGGACCGGGCAACGGGACCUUCCCUUUGACAAAGGUCAUGGUACAGCACCUCCGGUACUGCCAGAAUCCAAGCUCUUAUAUAAAGCAACAGGUUAUGCUUCUGCACCUCUGCUGUGAAGAAAGUCUUCCUUAAAACCUUCCUUAAACCUGUCAAGGUUCCUCAGAGGGCAAGGACGUGGCCGUGUGCAGAAGAUUUCCUGUUUUGAGCUCGGCUAACUGUAUUCUGCAGGCUUUCCCUCGGCCACCUGUGUCUGACGCACAACCGAAGUACCGUGCAUGAUGACCAUGCUGCUCCCAGUGGUCCACAAGCCUUUCUUUUGCAAAUGGGCAUCGCGAGACACACCACUGUCAAGAAUUUUAAUUCUAGGAAACAAAGGGAGGAAGGAACCACUUAACGGAUCAGCCCCUUCUGAUAUCCUGUUAAAGUGUAGUUUCAGGAUUAAAAAAAAAAAAACAAAUGGGAGGACAGUAGCAUGA
Molecule: long non-coding RNA, 669 nt
Organism: Chroicocephalus ridibundus (black-headed gull)
Lineage: Eukaryota; Metazoa; Chordata; Aves; Charadriiformes; Laridae
Exons: 3
Source: RefSeq, a predicted model, not a curated record